RNAcentral lists this transfer RNA (72 nucleotides) under Sinorhizobium sp. BJ1. RNAcentral describes it as "tRNA-Phe". Lineage: Bacteria; Pseudomonadati; Pseudomonadota; Alphaproteobacteria; Hyphomicrobiales; Rhizobiaceae. The record is from RNAcentral.
ACUUGAAUCCUCGCCAAGAGGCGCGGAUUGAAAAUCCGCGUGUCGGUGGUUCAAAUCCGCCUCCGGGCACCA